AGGCUUAACACAUGCAAGUCGAGCGCACUCUUUUAGAGUGAGCGGCAAACGGGUGAGUAACGCGUGGGAAUCUACCCAUCUCUACGGAAUAACACAGAGAAAUUUGUGCUAAUACCGUAUACGUCCUUCUGGGAGAAAGAUUUAUCGGAGAUGGAUGAGCCCGCGUUGGAUUAGCUAGUUGGUGAGGUAACGGCUCACCAAGGCGACGAUCCAUAGCUGGUCUGAGAGGAUGAUCAGCCACACUGGGACUGAGACACGGCCCAGACUCCUACGGGAGGCAGCAGUGGGGAAUAUUGGACAAUGGGGGCAACCCUGAUCCAGCCAUGCCGCGUGAGUGAUGAAGGCCCUAGGGUUGUAAAGCUCUUUCA
Molecule: ribosomal RNA, 368 nt
Filed under: uncultured Bartonella sp.
Lineage: Bacteria; Pseudomonadati; Pseudomonadota; Alphaproteobacteria; Hyphomicrobiales; Bartonellaceae
Description: bacterial SSU rRNA
Rfam family: Bacterial small subunit ribosomal RNA
Source: RNAcentral